Molecule: ribosomal RNA, 420 nt
Filed under: uncultured bacterium
Lineage: Bacteria
Description: bacterial SSU rRNA
Rfam family: Bacterial small subunit ribosomal RNA
Source: RNAcentral
GAGGAAUAUUGGUCAAUGGGCGCAAGCCUGAACCAGCCAUGCCGCGUGCAGGAUGACGCAUCUAUGGUGUGUAAACUGCUUUUGUACAGGAAGAAACAGUGCUACGUGUAGCACCUUGACGGUACUGUAAGAAUAAGGAUCGGCUAACUCCGUGCCAGCAGCCGCGGUAAUACGGAGGAUCCAAGCGUUAUCCGGAAUCAUUGGGUUUAAAGGGUCCGUAGGCGGUUUUAUAAGUCAGUGGUGAAAUCCGGUAGCUCAACUAUCGAACGGCCAUUGAUACUGUAGAACUUGAAUUAUUGUGAAGUAACUAGAAUAUGUAGUGUAGCGGUGAAAUGCUUAGAUAUUACAUGGAAUACCCAUUGCGAAGGCAGGUUACUAACAAUAUAUUGACGCUGAUGGACGAAAGCGUGGGGAGCGAAC